GACAGAGGGUGCAAACGUUGUUCGGAAUUACUAGGCGUAAAGCGCGUGUAGGCUGCUCAGAAAGUCGGAUGUGAAAGCCCUGGGCUUAACCUAGGAAGUGCAUUCGAAACUUCUGAGCUUGAGUUCUGGAGAGGAAGGCGGAAUUCUCGGUGUAGAGGUGAAAUUCGUAGAUAUCGAGAGGAACACCGGUGGCGAAGGCGGCCUUCUGGACAGUGACUGACGCUGAGACGCGCAAGCCAGGGGAGCAAACGGG
Molecule: ribosomal RNA, 253 nt
Filed under: uncultured bacterium
Lineage: Bacteria
Description: partial 16S ribosomal RNA
Rfam family: Bacterial small subunit ribosomal RNA
Source: RNAcentral